CUCGAGGCCAGAUCUAGAGUUUGAUCCUGGCUGAGAUUGAACGCUGGCGGCAUGCCUAACACAUGCAAGUCGAACGGUAACAGGACUAGCUUGCUAGUCGCUGACGAGUGGCGGACGGGUGAGUAAUGCAUAGGAAUCUGCCCAACAGUUGGGGACAACCUGGUGAAAACCAGGCUAAUACCGAAUACGAUCUACGGAUGAAAGGUGGGGACCUUCGGGCCUGCCGCUGUUGGAUGAGCCUAUGUGGGAUUAGCUAGUUGGUGAGGUAAAGGCUCACCAAGGCGACGAUCCCUAGCUGGUCUGAGAGGAUGAUCAGCCACACUGGGACUGAGACACGGCCCAGACUCCUACGGGAGGCAGCAGUGGGGAAUAUUGGACAAUGGGCGCAAGCCUGAUCCAGCAAUGCCGCGUGUGUGAAGAAGGCCUGCGGGUUGUAACGCACUUUUGUCAGGGAAGAAAGCACUUAGAUUAAGAGUCAGAGUGUUUGACGGUACCUGAAGAAUAAGCACCGGCUAACUCCGUGCCAGCAGCCGCGGUAAUACGGAGGGUGCGAGCGUUAAU
RNAcentral lists this ribosomal RNA (561 nucleotides) under uncultured bacterium. Its description in RNAcentral is "bacterial SSU rRNA". It matches the Rfam family "Bacterial small subunit ribosomal RNA", at positions 1 to 545 of the family's 1533-position model. The record is from RNAcentral.